CAUUAUCCUCGUUAUAACAAACUCUUAACUAAACACCGGAAACAAAAUAUAUCCGUGUCCCGUAUCCCAAUCACCCCCUACUGAAAAAGGAAGAGUGUGGUGAGUAUCUCAGUACCCGUUGCAUAUAUGCCACAAUUGUUUGAUGACUUGAGGAAAACAUUUUCUUCCAUGUAUGGUUGUAACUAGAAAUAUUCAGUCCAAUCAACUACAAACUAGUUUAGUUGGCACUUUUAAGGUAAUUUAAGGUCCAAAUCUUGAGAAUAAAAUCAGACACUUUUCCAAGAA
Molecule: unclassified non-coding RNA, 285 nt
Filed under: Hevea brasiliensis (rubber tree)
Lineage: Eukaryota; Viridiplantae; Streptophyta; Magnoliopsida; Malpighiales; Euphorbiaceae
Source: RNAcentral